GGACAUAUAGCUCAGUUGGUAGAGUGCUUGCCUAGCAGGCAUAAGGCCCUGGGUUUGAUCCCCAGCACCACCA
This 73-nucleotide transfer RNA is filed under the name Ictidomys tridecemlineatus (thirteen-lined ground squirrel). RNAcentral's name for it is "Spermophilus tridecemlineatus (thirteen-lined ground squirrel) tRNA". It matches the Rfam family "tRNA". Rfam says of the family: Transfer RNA (tRNA) molecules are approximately 80 nucleotides in length. Their secondary structure includes four short double-helical elements and three loops (D, anti-codon, and T loops). The record is from Rfam by way of RNAcentral. Lineage: Eukaryota; Metazoa; Chordata; Mammalia; Rodentia; Sciuridae.